UGGGGAAUAUUGCACAAUGGGCGCAAGCCUGAUGCAGCGACGCCGCGUGAAGGAUGAAGGUUUUCGGAUCGUAAACUUCUAUCAGCAGGGAGGAACCAAAUGACGGUACCUGACUAAGAAGCCCCGGCUAACUACGUGCCAGCAGCCGCGGUAAUACGUAGGGGGCAAGCGUUAUCCGGAUUUACUGGGUGUAAAGGGUGCGUAGGUGGCAAUGUAAGUCAGAUGUGAAACCUUGGGGCUCAACCUCAAGCAUGCAUCUGAAACUGCGUAGCUAGAGUGCAGGAGAGGAAAGCGGAAUUCCGAGUGUAGCGGUGAAAUGCGUAGAUAUUCGGAGGAACACCAGUAGCGAAGGCGGCUUUCUGGACUGUAACUGACACUGAGGCACGAAAGCGUGGGGAGCGAACA
RNAcentral lists this ribosomal RNA (405 nucleotides) under uncultured Eubacteriales bacterium. RNAcentral describes it as "uncultured Clostridiales bacterium partial 16S ribosomal RNA". It matches the Rfam family "Bacterial small subunit ribosomal RNA", at positions 355 to 774 of the family's 1533-position model. RNAcentral also lists the same sequence under 1 other name. The record is from RNAcentral. Lineage: Bacteria; Bacillati; Bacillota; Clostridia; Eubacteriales.